RNAcentral lists this long non-coding RNA (689 nucleotides) under Anser brachyrhynchus (Pink-footed goose). RNAcentral's name for it is "lncRNA (ENSABRG00000000078.1)". Lineage: Eukaryota; Metazoa; Chordata; Aves; Anseriformes; Anatidae. The record is from RNAcentral.
AAACUCCCUUGGGAAGGGAGAGCCGUGAGUAAUUUUGCUCUGUUCUUACCAACAUCGCUGGUCGUGUUACGAUCUCUCUGACGGUCCGUCUCCUGCACGAGGUGGCAGUAUGAGAGAAAGCAGUUGUUUUUCAAUCCGAUUUCCUUAUAAUGAUUUUGCCUUCUUUAUCUUAAAGAGUUACGCUAUUAAAUUGCAUUUAAUAGUCAGUUCCAGUCCUUCAGGGUUACCUGGAAUUCUUCCUACAGACAGGAUACGUGGGCAUUUGUAACCGUUCAGGAUCUUACAGCACUUAGAAGCACCAAGCUGUGGUUCGUGACCUUCUCGUAGUCCGGUGUUGCUGGAGGUGGUUGGCGAUGCUCUAUCAGAGGACAAGGGCCUUGGGAGAUGGAUGCUGUGAGAAAUCCUCGCCGGCCACUGAACGCCCUGGCCGUCUGUGCUGCUUCUUCCCAGGUCCCAGGAAUCACAACAGCAACAUGACAUCAGGUUUCUUUGGAUUCAUCAAAGAAUGGCUGAAGAUCCUGAGACCACUUUGUUGCCCAGAUAAUAUGUUACUCAUCUAAUAGAUAUUCAUCUGAUUUGAAGUAUGAAUGGUAAUCUCCAUAUGCCCUUAAUUAAUAUGACAUCUAGUCAAAUAAGCAUGAUAUAAACAGACAAAUAAACGACUUACAGUAAGUAUGCUUUAUUUUAGU